This 460-nucleotide ribosomal RNA is filed under the name uncultured bacterium. Its description in RNAcentral is "partial 16S ribosomal RNA". It matches the Rfam family "Bacterial small subunit ribosomal RNA", at positions 338 to 795 of the family's 1533-position model. The record is from RNAcentral.
CCUACGGGUGGCAGCAGUGAGGAAUAUUGGUCAAUGGACGAGAGUCUGAACCAGCCAAGUAGCGUGAAGGAUGACUGCCCUAUGGGUUGUAAACUUCUUUUAUAAAGGAAUAAAACGAGCCACGUGUGCCCUUUUGUAUGUACUUUAUGAAUAAGGAUCGGCUAACUCCGUGCCAGCAGCCGCGGUAAGACGGGGGAUCCGGACGUUUACCGGAUUUAAUUGGGUUAAAGGGGGCGUAGGUGGGUGUGUCAGUCAGUUGGGAAAGUUUGCGGCUAAACCGUAAAAUUGCAAUUGAUACUGGCAGUCUUGAGUACAGUUGAGGUAUGCGGAAUGCGUGGUGUAGCGGUGAAAUGCUUAGAUAUCACGAAGAACCCCGAUUGCGAAGGCAGCUUACUGAACUGCAACUGACAUUGAUGCUCGAAAGUGUGGGUAUCAAACAGGAUUAGAUACCCCUGUAGUC